GCGCGUCGCAGGCUCGGGUGUGGUGGAGGGGCCCUGGGUCGGGCUCCCGCCCGGGAGUGACGGGGGGGCGGUGCUCUGCGGAGCGCAAGCUGCCUGGCCUCGGCGGGUGUGGUGACCUGGGUGCAGCCUGCUCUGGGAGCUGAGCCUUCCUCUGCGGCCUUGUGCUGUGGUAUGGGGCCUUGUUGGUGCCCGUGGGGGAGCUGAGCCUUCCCCUGCCUGUCCCCAUAGCUCUGUGCUGCAGUAUAGGGCCUGGUGGUGCCCGUGUGGGAGCUGAGCCUGUGGUCUCUCCAUUGUGGUGCCCUUGUGCUGCAGUACAGGGCCUUGAAGAGAGCACUUACCCCCUGUGUGGGAGCUGGCUGUUGUGCAGGGCUGGAGAGGGAAGAACAGCUCUUGUAUGGGCUAGCGUUGUCAGAAGUUUAGAAACUUCAGUUACCGUUGCUGGGGCGGAGUUAGCAAGAAAAGGACUAUCUGCACCAUCGUGAAACCCAGCAAAGUGGCACUGAAUGCUUUUUUUCAGUUAGGAUGAUCUCGAGUGCAAAGGCCCCUUGUGUGCAGAGAUUGUUGCUGCUGUGGUUUUUGGAGGCAGCUUUUGUUUAGCUAUCAUACAGGACCUAUCUCAGGCACCACAACCCCUUAAGUUAGUAUCAGAUGUGGCUUUUGUUUAUUAAUAGAUUGACAUUCAUACCUCAAGAACAUAGCAGGAAGACUUAACAGCUUUUAUAAUUCUUGAAAUUACACAUAUACUUCAGCCUGUUAAGGAAGCAUGUCAAACUUGUUUCAUCUCCGGAUGUCUUGUGAUAGACCGCUCUCUGCAGCUGCCCCCUGUGCAGGGUUGGAGCUGAUGUGCCCGGACAGAUGUACCUCGGACAUCAGCAGGUGUCUUGAGGAGGAGCUGACAGCUCGUAUGUGGCGGUGACUGCUUCUGCAGUUAUUCCCGGCUGCCGGGAUGACGGGUCGUUAAUCAGCUAGCUCUGAGCAAAUGCCUUUGUUUCGCUGCAGAAGAGGAAGAGGCCCGGCGGGCCGGGAGCACCAGACAUUGUGCAUUAUGCAAAUGGGCGUGCGUCACGGAGCUGCCGAUGUGUGCUCAGGCGAGGGGCCCUGAGGAGGGUUUGCUGGUGGAGCAGAGAACAGAAGAAGUCUUGUUCCUGCUCUCGCUGGUGCCACUUCCAGUGCAGCCGCCCACUUGUUCAGCUGGACCAGAGGCCACAGUGAUGCUAGCUGGAAUGGGCUGCCUCUCCUGCGCCUGUCCUUUGCUCCAGUAUUUUUAUCUCAGCUGGCAGAAAAGGAAGUGUUAGUCCAUGGCUCCAAAUGGAGGCACUUUUGUUACACUGGAUUAAUAAAUGCUGGCCUCUGAGAGGCCAACCCUGCUCUUC
Long non-coding RNA from Dromaius novaehollandiae (emu), 1373 nucleotides. RefSeq lists it as uncharacterized. Lineage: Eukaryota; Metazoa; Chordata; Aves; Casuariiformes; Dromaiidae. The record is from RefSeq and is a predicted model, not a curated record. The transcript has 2 exons.